GGAUUAGAUACCCUGGUAGUCCACGCCGUAAACGAUGAUUACUAGGUGUGGGGGGACUGACCCCUUCCGUGCCGCAGCAAACGCAAUAAGUAAUCCACCUGGGGAGUACGACCGCAAGGUUGAAACUCAAAGGAAUUGACGGGGGCCCGCACAAGCAGUGGAGUAUGUGGAUUAAUUCGAAGCAACGCGAAGAACCUUACCAGGUCUUGACAUCGUAUGCAUAGCUCAGAGAUGAGUGAAAUCUCUUCGGAGACAUAUAGACAGGUGGUGCAUGGUUGUCGUCAGCUCGUGUCGUGAGAUGUUGGGUUAAGUCCCGCAACGAGCGCAACCCUUACUGUUAGUUGCUACGCAAGAGCACUCUAGCAGGACUGCCGUUGACAAAACGGAGGAAGGUGGGGAUGACGUCAAAUCAUCAUGCCCCUUAUGACCUGGGCCUCACACGUACUACAAUGGCUGUUAACAGAGGGAUGCAAAGCCGCGAGGUAGAGCGAACCCCUAAAAGCAGUCUUAGUUCGGAUUGUAGGCUGCAACCCGCCUACAUGAAGUCGGAAUUGCUAGUAAUCGCAGAUCAGCAUGCUGCGGUGAAUACGUUCCCGGGCCUUGUACACACCGCCCGUCACGCCAUGGGAGUCGGUAACACCCGAAGCCUGUAGUCUAACCGCAAGGAGGACGCAGUCGAAGGUGGGAUUGAUGACUGGGGUGAAGUCGUAACAAGGUAGCCGUAUCGGAAGGUGCGGCUG
Molecule: ribosomal RNA, 740 nt
Filed under: gut metagenome
Description: bacterial SSU rRNA
Rfam family: Bacterial small subunit ribosomal RNA
Source: RNAcentral